CAGUGAGAAAGUGUUCACAAAAUGGCAGCUCUUGCCCUGGCAUCAGAGUUUGAUAAUUGCAGCAUAUACGAUAUUCUUGAACAACCACGCAACUUAUGUGGUGAUUUCGAGUUUGAAAAAGGUUUCGUCUUUCCACCUGUUCAAAAUCCUGCUCAGUUCCUGAGUCAAUACACAAGUGGUGAUGACAACAUAAAAAUAAACUUCGCUCACGGUACAACAACUCUGGCUUUCAAAUUUCAGCAUGGUGUUAUUGUUGCCGUUGACUCUAGAGCAACAGCAGGCUCUUACAUAGCAUCUCAAACUGUGAAAAAGGUUAUUGAGAUUAAUCCGUACCUUCUUGGUACCAUGGCUGGUGGAGCAGCAGAUUGUUCAUAUUGGGAACGAGUUCUUGCUGAACAAUGCAGGAUAUAUGAACUACGAAACAAAGAACGUAUAUCAGUUGCAGCCGCAUCAAAACUGCUUGCAAACAUGGUUUAUCAUUAUAAAGGAAUGGGAUUAUCUAUGGGUACCAUGAUUUGUGGUUGGGAUAAACGAGGUCCCGGCCUGUACUAUGUUGACAGCGAUGGCAGUCGUUUGUCUAAUAAUAUCUUUUCUGUUGGAUCUGGUUCCACCUUUGCUUAUGGUGUGCUGGAUAGCGGUUAUCAUCAUAAUCUCUCUGUUGAAGAAGCAUAUGAUUUAGGAGAGAGGGCCAUUUAUCAUGCAACACAUAGAGAUGCUUAUAGUGGGGGUGUUGUGAACAUGUAUCACAUGAAGGAGACAGGCUGGAUUAAGGUCUCUCAAAAUGACGUUCGUGAUCUGCAUUACAAAUAUCAAGCAGAGAAGAAAAAAUGACAUUUUUUUCAAAGGUUUGUAGGUUAGUUUCGCAUGGUUUGUCGGCUACACUUCAUUAAAUUGUUCUCGUAAUCCUUCAUAUUCUUUUGCGUUUAUUUGUCGCAUCUGUUAUGACCAUGUUUCUCUCUGAUUCUUUAUGGGUCAUAUGGUGUUAACAAAAAUGCUCAAAUUUAUACACUCCGUAGUUGCAUUUUUGUAUAAAAAAGCAGCCUAGUAUAGACACAAACAAGAUAGGAAAAGAGCAAAAAAAUAUACAUAUGAAGUAGAAAUUUUAACGCCAAAGUACACUAGCAACAUUAGUGAAAUAUACCAUGAUACAACACAUCUCAAAUUUGUAUCCAACACCAUGGCGGAUAGUUUGUAGUGGCUGUAUUGUAGCAUUAAUCAUUGGCUAGAUUACCAAAACCACAUGAGACUGUUUAUUGAAAAAAAUCACAUCUAAAUAUUAAAAAAAGUGUUAGUCUAGAAAACUAAUUAUAAUUCUACUUUAAUUACAUUUCGUCCCGCAAAGAUAUACGUUCACAUGUAAAAGCGGUUUCUCUCACAAAAAUAUAUCACACAUUGCCAAAAGUGUUGAAAAUUUUAUCGUCAAGAAUUACGCAGAGGAUUUUCUUGCUUUACUUAUACACUGUUGGUAGAAUUCUCGUGUAUUGCUGGGUCUAAAAUGUUGAGAAAGGGAAAUGAAGGAGGUCGAUAAGAAAUUCACGAAAUUGUUACUUCUGGAAAUUUUAUAAGAAAUUUAGAAAAUUUUUACUCUAAUAAAUUCUAUGGUAAGCAUUUACAAAAAAUAAAAUUAUCAAAUGAUCACUUUAAA
This is an RNA transcript of Xenia sp. Carnegie-2017, 1645 nucleotides long. It is a transcript of the gene named proteasome subunit beta type-5-like, with no coding region annotated. NCBI's taxonomy places the organism in Eukaryota, Metazoa, Cnidaria, Anthozoa, Malacalcyonacea, Xeniidae. The transcript has 7 exons. The record is from RefSeq and is a predicted model, not a curated record.